RNAcentral lists this non-coding RNA (24 nucleotides) under Arabidopsis thaliana (thale cress). Lineage: Eukaryota; Viridiplantae; Streptophyta; Magnoliopsida; Brassicales; Brassicaceae. The record is from RNAcentral.
AUACACAAGUGAGAUAUUCUUUGG